GCGGGGUAAAGUAGUGUGAUUUUAUUUCAUGCAAAUCCUUCAAGGAACACAUCAUAAAACAACACAAGCCUCACCGCUAGACUCAAUCUGUUAAUUCACCGUCUUGGAAACAAACUGUAACUCAUAUAAAUCAACUGAAUACUAAGUUGAAACGUGGUUUACUUCCAAAGAUUCGACCAGAGUGAAAGAUUAUUGCAACUGCAGUCGGAUCGGCGUCUCGGGUGCAGAGGAGGAAUGCCAGAUGCGGAGGGUGAGGCGUGUUCCCACGAAUGACCCUCUGGUAUGCUGGAAGUGGUCCAUGAUGUAUUGAGAGGCCUCGUGUGCGACAGCUCGUUAACGCAUGGCCCGCUAGUUACAGAAUAAAUAUCUUUGUCUAAUGUGCACUUCCGUGUGACCCGCAAUGUUGGUGAUGGCAGCACCGUCAAGGUCUGCGGAUUACUGAAUGGAGCGCUGAAGUUGGUGACGACUCGUGGCGCAGGCAAUACAAAUGGAACAGUACAUUGAUUUAAGAAAGGUUCGGAAAUAACACUGAAUAAGCAAAUAUUACUAAUAGAUUGUCGUAAACGCAAUGUCCUCAAUAUAAGUCAUUUUACCAAACGCCAUGUCAAAACAUCUUGUAUUUAAUAAGAUGUAUACAAUGUUUUAAAAAAGGACAAUCCAAAUACUUCUUGAAAGUUGCCAUAAAAUUAAGAAAAUUUGUAGUAUUAAAACA
Zootermopsis nevadensis is the source of this 712-nucleotide long non-coding RNA. RefSeq lists it as uncharacterized. The record is from RefSeq and is a predicted model, not a curated record. Lineage: Eukaryota; Metazoa; Arthropoda; Insecta; Blattodea; Termopsidae.